UCUCAUCUUUCUCACACCCCUAAGAGACCCCGAAACCCUAGCCAGCCGUCUCAAAUCCUAUGCAAUAUCUGGUGGCGGCACCACCUCCGUUCAAACCCAAACCAACACCAAAUCAUCUCCUCAGCUCCCUCUUUCCAAAUCCUAGAUCACCGUCCCUCGAAUCUUUUUGAAACCCCUCAAAUUUCAAAUCAAACGGUAGAACCCUAGCUCCGCCCUAAUAUUCUUUGGUAGCGGCGCCACCACCAACCACCCCCAAAUUAACACCCUGAAGUCCCUGCCUCCCCUCAUUCUAAAUAUCCCAUUACUUUCUUUCGAAUCCCCCUCAAACUUCUCGAAUAUUAAAUCAGAGAACUCAGCCUUAAUUCCAAAUUCAAAAUUCAACGGGCCUGUGAGGAUUUUAGACUAUAUUGAACCUUAGUCGUGUGUUUUCACACGAAAACACAAGAUUAAGGUCUAAUCUGGUCAGAAUAAUCGAAGGAUUUCUUCAAGUGUAUUCAAGUCCAUGCUGAGCCCCACGGGUAUUUCUUUUUCAGUUUUCUUCGGUUAAAUUUUCUUUACUUUUCUUGUCAUUUUAACUUGCAUUGUCAUCUGCUUCUCCCUCUUAUUUUAGAUUAUUUUGCUAUUCCAAUUUUAGAGUUGUUCUUUACAUGCAUGCUAGUUUUAAGAGGCUUUUAUUUCUGUAAUUAGUUGGAACAGUCUACUAUUAGUUUAGUUUCAAUUUCAUUACAUGUUUGCUCAUUAGUCGAAUUUCCAAAAUUUGCUCGAAUUGCCUCUGCCUCUUUAUUUCAUUUUCAUUUGUUUAGGUUGAUGUUAUUUAGGUCUGAGGCUCAUACCCUGAAGCUCAGGCUUGGGCCGGACUUCUAAAUGGGUCAGCCCAGGGUCAAUUUGACCUAUAAUCUGUCUAAGGUGCAGGGAUAAAAACAGGGAAGCUAAGGGGCAAUUGGGGUAACUCAGUUAGGGAAUCUUUUGGGCAACAGAUUAAGAAGCUUCUCAGAAGCUGCAAACAGACUAGCUUGGCCAGCAAGGCAGAAAAUGAAGGACUAAGUAGAAAAAAGGAAAAUUUGAAAAGGACUAAAAAAUAAAAUAACUAAACUCUUAAGGUUGCCCUAGUAACUUGUCUAUAAAGGCAUAGUUACUUGGGGUUCAAUUCAGAUUUUAGAUUGGAGAUGAUGAAAAAAAGCUAAGAAACUUGGAAAAAGAAACGGCUAAGAAUUGAAGAAAAAAUCAUUGUUUCAUUGAAACUUUUUGGUGACUUCUUCAUUUCUUAUUCUUUGAAAAGAUGUUCUGGUUCAAAUAGUUCAAAAAUGAAUUGAAAUUGGGUUUUGGAGGUUUGGUUUUUGAAGUCUGUUCUGGUAUUUGCUCGAGUGAGCCUGCCUUCUGUUAUUUUUGCAUUCGAUUUGGUUGAGUUGUGUUGCUGCUGGUGUUGACUACUGUUCUACUCUAUCGGUCCUCAUUUUUCUUUCCUUGUUUCAAUUUCCAGGUAUUCACUUCACCUCCUAAUGUAUGAGAAUGAGUGAACUUGAAGUUGGUUUAUUUCAGUUAGGAUUUGUAUUUGAGCAGUGAUUUGAAUGAUGGAUUUGUGCCUUUCAAGCUAGUUAAUCUGUGUAUUUGAUUUGGUUUCAAUGUUUAUAAAUAAUGUGCUUUUAUUUUUGUUGUUUAAUUCCUCAUGAUGUUUUUUUAAGAUUUCGAAUAGUAUGUUAGUAUGGAUAUUCUGUAUUAAAAGGGACAUGGACAUUAUUUGGACAUCAGAUAUUGUGUCCUGUAUCUAUGAGUAUUGAGGGGUCGAAGUGAUUCUCA
RNAcentral lists this long non-coding RNA (1797 nucleotides) under Nicotiana tabacum (common tobacco). RNAcentral describes it as "long non-coding RNA (NTAB_LNC015273)". Lineage: Eukaryota; Viridiplantae; Streptophyta; Magnoliopsida; Solanales; Solanaceae. The record is from RNAcentral.